Molecule: ribosomal RNA, 408 nt
Filed under: uncultured microorganism
Description: bacterial SSU rRNA
Rfam family: Bacterial small subunit ribosomal RNA
Source: RNAcentral
GAGUUUGAUCAUGGCUCAGAUUGAACGCUGGCGGCAUGCCUUACACAUGCAAGUCGAACGGCAGCAUGAUCUAGCUCGCUAGAUUGAUGGCGAGUGGCGAACGGGUGAGUAAUACAUCGGAACGUGCCCUGUAGUGGGGAGUAACUAGUCGAAAGAUUAGCUAAUACCGCAUACGACCUGAGGGUGAAAGUGGGGACCGCAAGGCCUCAUGCUAUAGGAGCGGCCGAUGUCUGAUUAGCUAGUUGGUGGGGUAAAGGCCCACCAAGGCGACGAUCAGUAGCUGGUCUGAGAGGACGAUCAGCCACACUGGGACUGAGACACGGCCCAGACUCCUACGGGAGGCAGCAGUGGGGAAUUUUGGACAAUGGGCGAAAGCCUGAUCCAGCAAUGCCGCGUGUGUGAAGAAGG